Molecule: ribosomal RNA, 253 nt
Filed under: uncultured bacterium
Lineage: Bacteria
Description: partial 16S ribosomal RNA
Rfam family: Bacterial small subunit ribosomal RNA
Source: RNAcentral
UACGUAGGUGGCAAGCGUUGUCCGGAAUUACUGGGUGUAAAGGGAGCGCAGGCGGGAAACCAAGUCAGCUGUGAAAACUACGGGCUUAACUUGUAGACUGCAGUUGAAACUGGUUUUCUUGAGUGAAGUAGAGGUUGGCGGAAUUCCGAGUGUAGCGGUGAAAUGCGUAGAUAUUCGGAGGAACACCGGUGGCGAAGGCGGCCAACUGGGCUUUAACUGACGCUGAGGCUCGAAAGUGUGGGGAGCAGACAGG